This 72-nucleotide transfer RNA is filed under the name Marmota marmota marmota (Alpine marmot). It matches the Rfam family "tRNA". From Rfam's summary of the family: Transfer RNA (tRNA) molecules are approximately 80 nucleotides in length. Their secondary structure includes four short double-helical elements and three loops (D, anti-codon, and T loops). Lineage: Eukaryota; Metazoa; Chordata; Mammalia; Rodentia; Sciuridae. The record is from Rfam by way of RNAcentral. RNAcentral also lists the same sequence under 4 other names.
UGGGGUGUAGCUCAGUGGAAGAGCGCUUGCCUAGUAUGUGUGAGGCACUGGGUUCGAUUCUCAGCACCACAU